GUUCUCAUUUUGGGUGCCUGAACUCUGCAAUAUGUUUAAGCCAAUAUUCUGGAAGAAGUUCUGGAAGUCAAGCAGUAGAACAUGUGAGGUUCUGGAACUCAGUUCUGGUGUUCUGUCCUUGUCAAUCUUGCAGUAGAAUAUGUGAGGCGUUGGAUCUUGUGUAUUUCCCUCACGGAUUCAAGCAGAAAAUUGACACAAAAGUAGAUACAAAUACAAACCUGAUAAAGAGCAAGUUCUUGUGGUAAUGAUUUGUUCUUCAGUGUCUUGUCAGUGGUGGAAGAGAUACUCUGGAGCUGCUGCAGUGUGUCUGGGGCUGCUGUGUGUCCUCCUACUGGCUGGGAUCAUAGGCCUGUUUCUCUACCAGCGAAACCAAUUGACCUGUUCCAACACCCUGACUGAAGAGAGGGACCAGCUACAGACCAGCGGAAACAAUAUGACUGAAGAGAGAGACCAGCUACAGACCAGCGACAACACCCUGACCAAUGAGAGAGACCAGCUACAGACCAGUUACAACACCCUGACCAAAGAGAGAGACCAGCUACAGACCAGUUACAACACUCUGACCAAAGAGAGAGACCAGCUACAGAAAGAGACAGAACUUCUGAAACAAUCUUUAGUUGAGAAAGUGUGUCCGGAAGGAUGGAAGAAGCUUGGUAGCUUGGUUGUUACUACGUCUCUACUGAGUACAAAUCCUGGAAGGAGAGCAGACAGGACUGCAGAAAUAGAGGAGCAGACCUGGUCGUCAUCAACAGCCAAGAACAACAGGUGUGUGAGAAGAGAGAGAGUGACAGAGAGAGUGAGAGAGAGACUAAAAGAGAGUGACAGAGUGAGACAGGGAUGCAGCUUAAGCCCCACCCUCUUCAACAUAUACAGUGCCUUGCGAAAGUAUUCGGACCCCUUGAACUUUGCGA
Molecule: long non-coding RNA, 911 nt
Organism: Oncorhynchus keta (chum salmon)
Lineage: Eukaryota; Metazoa; Chordata; Actinopteri; Salmoniformes; Salmonidae
Exons: 3
Source: RefSeq, a predicted model, not a curated record